This 880-nucleotide ribosomal RNA is filed under the name Klebsiella pneumoniae. RNAcentral describes it as "bacterial SSU rRNA". It matches the Rfam family "Bacterial small subunit ribosomal RNA", at positions 543 to 1422 of the family's 1533-position model. Lineage: Bacteria; Pseudomonadati; Pseudomonadota; Gammaproteobacteria; Enterobacterales; Enterobacteriaceae. The record is from RNAcentral.
AAUCGGAAUUACUGGGCGUAAAGCGCACGCAGGCGGUCUGUCAAGUCGGAUGUGAAAUCCCCGGGCUCAACCUGGGAACUGCAUUCGAAACUGGCAGGCUAGAGUCUUGUAGAGGGGGGUAGAAUUCCAGGUGUAGCGGUGAAAUGCGUAGAGAUCUGGAGGAAUACCGGUGGCGAAGGCGGCCCCCUGGACAAAGACUGACGCUCAGGUGCGAAAGCGUGGGGAGCAAACAGGAUUAGAUACCCUGGUAGUCCACGCUGUAAACGAUGUCGAUUUGGAGGUUGUGCCCUUGAGGCGUGGCUUCCGGAGCUAACGCGUUAAAUCGACCGCCUGGGGAGUACGGCCGCAAGGUUAAAACUCAAAUGAAUUGACGGGGGCCCGCACAAGCGGUGGAGCAUGUGGUUUAAUUCGAUGCAACGCGAAGAACCUUACCUGGUCUUGACAUCCACAGAACUUUCCAGAGAUGGAUUGGUGCCUUCGGGAACUGUGAGACAGGUGCUGCAUGGCUGUCGUCAGCUCGUGUUGUGAAAUGUUGGGUUAAGUCCCGCAACGAGCGCAACCCUUAUCCUUUGUUGCCAGCGGUUCGGCCGGGAACUCAAAGGAGACUGCCAGUGAUAAACUGGAGGAAGGUGGGGAUGACGUCAAGUCAAUCAUGGCCCUUACGACCAGGGCUACACACGUGCUACAAUGGCAUAUACAAAGAGAAGCGACCUCGCGAGAGCAAGCGGACCUCAUAAAGUAUGUCGUAGUCCGGAUUGGAGUCUGCAACUCGACUCCAUGAAGUCGGAAUCGCUAGUAAUCGUAGAUCAGAAUGCUACGGUGAAUACGUUCCCGGGCCUUGUACACACCGCCCGUCACACCAUGGGAGUGGGUGCAAAGG